AAGUCCAAGUCUUUCAGUCAUCAUGAUACGGGUUCGAAGAACACCCAAAAAAGCCUUUUGAUGCUCAGACGCACCAACCAGAGUGCUCACCUUCGACGCCGGAAAAAUCAUGGUGGCGUUCGCGAGUGGUUAGAUUCACACCGUCGUUGCUGAUUCGCAUGAAGAGUGAAAGACGUCGAGUCUAGAUGCGGAAUGAAGAUCCAAAGAGCAUGCCAUGGUUGUUGGAUCGAGGCGAAUUCGAUGCAAAACUCAACCCCGAUUCUUAAAUUCGUAUCGUAGUUUCUGCGUUGUGGCUGUCCGAUUCUGAAUGGUGAUGUGUUUGUGUCUUCGUCGUUUAAUUCGUGGUCGUUGUGUAGGAUGCAUCGUGGUAAUGAAUGAAUACUUGUGUUCGUUGUUGAUGAUUAGGAGUGAAGGACUAUUCUUGAGUUCUUCUAGUGUGUUGCGUUUCCGUUGAAGAUGAUUUCACGUUCGUGCACUCUGAUGAGAUUCGUGGUACCUUUGCUCGUGCAUGGAGUGAAAGAUUCUGAAGAAGGAAGAAAUGGCCCACUAGAUUCACGCUCCGACACGGUGGCUUCAGGUGAGGGCUUGAAGUGGAGAUUCUGUUUGCAGGUUGAAGGAGGUUAGAAGGUUUUGGUGGGAGGUUUUUGAGUGUUGCUAUAUGAUGGUGGAGAAGUGAAGAAGUUUCUUGAAGUUAUGGUUUUUGGGUUAAAGGUCUGUUAUGAAAAAAAAUGGGAGUGAAAUUAGUCCAAGUUCGUUUCCUGAUUCAAGCGGCUUUUUAUCUCCCAAUUCUGUUAUGAAGAGGAACAAAAAGGAAAUUUUUGUCGGGUAUGUCGUUCAAACUAUUCAUUAUGUUUGACCGUUAUGGAGUUUUUGAAAGUGUUCUUGAAGUAAUCAGUUAUGGAGAGGGUUCUAUUAUGGCUUUUAGUUAUGAAUCUUGGUUUGAGAAAUUUUGUACCAAUUCUAUUAGGUGGUUGUGGUUUGUUGACAGUUGAGUUGGUUAGAGAGUUGGUUGGAGAAGAGUUUAAAGGGGGAGUUUUCUCUGUGAGGCGUGAUUUGUUGAUUUCCGGUUAGAAGAGGCUUUUGUUUAAACAGUUUUGUGUAUUGGUUAACAGGUUUUGUCAACAAUUGAGAAUUUCUUGAUAGUUACCGGAACUCGGUUUUGGUUGGAGUGAAGCUUCCGGUUCCGGUUAUCGGUUGAUGUCAGUUGGGAGUUUUGGAAGAGUUUCCAUUGGUUUUGAUUGUUGCUGCUGCGGUUUGAUGGUUGCAUUGUUCUAAAAUGAACCGUGACAAAAGUCCAUUUGCUUAAAGCAUAUCAUAUGUCCGCGGGUAGGUGGGGAACGGUUCACACCAGUCAGGCAUAACACCUUUUCUCUUUCACCAGUGCGACAUUCAGACCCCCCC
Long non-coding RNA from Lathyrus oleraceus (garden pea), 1401 nucleotides. RefSeq lists it as uncharacterized. Lineage: Eukaryota; Viridiplantae; Streptophyta; Magnoliopsida; Fabales; Fabaceae. The record is from RefSeq and is a predicted model, not a curated record. The transcript is spliced from 3 exons.